Molecule: ribosomal RNA, 465 nt
Filed under: uncultured bacterium
Lineage: Bacteria
Description: partial 16S ribosomal RNA
Rfam family: Bacterial small subunit ribosomal RNA
Source: RNAcentral
CUACGGGGUGCUGCAGUGGGGAAUAUUGGACAAUGGGGGAAACCCUGAUCCAGCAAUGCCGCGUGUGUGAAGAAGGCCUGCGGGUUGUAAAGCACUUUCGGUUGGGAGGACUGCUUCUAGCACUAAUAUUGUUGGAAGUUGACGUUACCUUCAGAAGAAGCACCGGCUAACUCCGUGCCAGCAGCCGCGGUAAUACGGAGGGUGCAGGCGUUAAUCGGAAUUACUGGGCGUAAAGCGCGCGUAGGCGGCUAGAUCAGUCGGGUGUGAAAGCCCCGGGCUUAACCUGGGAACUGCAUCCGAUACUGUCUAGCUUGAGUACAGGAGAGGAGAGUGGAAUUCCACAUGUAGCGGUGAAAUGCGUAGAUAUGUGGAGGAACACCAAUGGCGAAGGCAGCUCUCUGGCCUGAUACUGACGCUGAGGUGCGAAUGCGUGGGGAGCAAACAGGAUUAGAUACCCGAGUAGUC